This 342-nucleotide unclassified non-coding RNA is filed under the name soil metagenome. Its description in RNAcentral is "partial contains 5.8S ribosomal RNA, internal transcribed spacer 2, and large subunit ribosomal RNA". The stretch from base 1 to 120 matches the Rfam family "5.8S ribosomal RNA", at positions 35 to 154 of the family's 154-position model. The record is from RNAcentral.
GAUGAAGAACGCAGCGAAACGCGAUAAGUAAUGUGAAUUGCAGAAUCCAGUGAAUCAUCGAAUCUUUGAACGCACAUUGCGCCCGCCAGCAUUCUGGCGGGCAUGCCUGUUCGAGCGUCAUUUCAACCCUCGACCUCCCCUUGGGGAGGUCGGCGUUGGGGACCGGCAGCACACCGCCGGCCCUGAAAUGGAGUGGCGGCCCGUCCGCGGCGACCUCUGCGCAGUAAUACAGCUCGCACCGGGACCCCGACGCGGCCACGCCGUAAAACACCCAACUUCUGAACGUUGACCUCGAAUCAGGUAGGACUACCCGCUGAACUUAAGCAUAUCAUAAGCGGAGGA